Molecule: ribosomal RNA, 250 nt
Filed under: uncultured prokaryote
Description: partial 16S rRNA
Rfam family: Bacterial small subunit ribosomal RNA
Source: RNAcentral
ACGUAGGGGGCAAGCGUUAUCCGGAAUUAUUGGGCGUAAAGAGUGCGUAGGUGGUUUUUUAAGCGUGAGGUGAAAGGCAAUAGCUUAACUAUUGUAAGCCUUGCGAACUGGAAGACUUGAGUGCAGGAGAGGAAAGUGGAAUUCCUAGUGGAGGGGUGAAAUGCGUGUAUAAUAGGAGGAACAUCGAUCGCGUGGGCGGCUUACUGGACUGUACUUCACUCUGAUACUUGUGAGCGAGUGGCGCAAGGAG